UAGAUCUGCUUCAUUCUUUCCUAAUGGAACAGUAUUUUACGAAUUUUUAUGUUUUCUUUUUCAAGAUCUAGGGUUCAUACAACACAGAUCGAGGAAUCUUGGUCUCUCUCAAUUCUCAGUAUAUUUCUUAGGGUUUUGCUUUAGUAGUUGUUGUGUUUUAACACAUCAAAUCAAGAAUUGAAGAUCCAAUUGAAGGCGGGCAUAUGCUUCUACUGUAAGCAGUAUUUGGAAGAAGAGAUCAAUGUUUGAACUUCAGCAAUGAUAGUGUAGAGAUUAUGCCCAAAGUGAGCAGAUCCAUCCCUUGUGUGUACCGGCAUUUGGCCCUGUCUGCUGAGUUAUUAUUGAAUCACCGUGAUUUACAUCCUCUCAAGUGCUCUUUCGGGCCGGAAUGUGGGGGAGCUGUUGGAGUUGGGAAUUCAACCUUUUGGGAGAAGAAGAAGCAUAUGUUUGUUCAUAUUUACUUGGUUGUAUUUUUUUUUUCAACCACAUUUAACAAAAUGAUUGAAAAUUCUUGGAGAACAUAUUUUUUAACUA
Long non-coding RNA from Ipomoea nil (Japanese morning glory), 534 nucleotides. RefSeq lists it as uncharacterized. The record is from RefSeq and is a predicted model, not a curated record. NCBI's taxonomy places the organism in Eukaryota, Viridiplantae, Streptophyta, Magnoliopsida, Solanales, Convolvulaceae. The transcript has 2 exons.